GUCCACGCCGUAAACGAUGGUCACUAGCUGUUCGGACUUCGGUCUGAGUGGCUAAGCGAAAGUGAUAAGUGACCCACCUGGGGAGUACGUUCGCAAGAAUGAAACUCAAAGGAAUUGACGGGGGCCCGCACAAGCGGUGGAGCAUGUGGUUUAAUUCGAUGAUACGCGAGGAACCUUACCAGGGCUUAAAUGUAGAUUGCAUUAGCUGGAGACAGCUAUUUCUUCGGACUAUCUACAAGGUGC
RNAcentral lists this ribosomal RNA (243 nucleotides) under uncultured bacterium. RNAcentral's name for it is "partial 16S ribosomal RNA". It matches the Rfam family "Bacterial small subunit ribosomal RNA", at positions 793 to 1041 of the family's 1533-position model. The record is from RNAcentral.